RNAcentral lists this ribosomal RNA (253 nucleotides) under uncultured bacterium. RNAcentral's name for it is "partial 16S ribosomal RNA". It matches the Rfam family "Bacterial small subunit ribosomal RNA", at positions 524 to 776 of the family's 1533-position model. The record is from RNAcentral.
UACGUAGGGUGCAAGCGUUGUCCGGAAUUAUUGGGCGUAAAGAGCUCGUAGGCGGUUUGUCGCGUCUGCUGUGAAAACCCGAGGCUCAACCUCGGGCCUGCAGUGGGUACGGGCAGACUAGAGUGCGGUAGGGGAGAUUGGAAUUCCUGGUGUAGCGGUGGAAUGCGCAGAUAUCAGGAGGAACACCGAUAGCGAAGGCAGCUCGCUGGGACGGUACUGACGCUGAGGCGCGAAAGCGUGGGGAGCGAACAGG